CGAAGGGUUCCGUCCCAGAGCAAAAUAAUCACGUUUGUUGUAGGGUAGGGUGGUAGCCAAUGAACCGCGUGUACACUAUGAACCAUGGUACCUACCGGUCAUACCUAACGUUGCUAGCUCGCGCAAAAAUUAUGUCGAGACUCCCUUUCCACGUCAAGAAGUUUGGUCUAUUCGCCGUGGGUCUGUCGCGAUAUACUCACCUGUGAGCCGCGUCUUAGUCUUCUACUCAAGCAAAAACGACAAAAAAAGCAUGGGGCGAAACACGGUAGGGAGGAAAGCACGUAAAAAAGGGUAUCACACCGCGGAAGCUACACAAAGAGGUAAAGAAAAAACACUUGUCGGGAUUAAGCAUUCGAAAAUUAGCAAAAACUGCAACCUUCUCUAUCCAGUAUUGUGACAGACGAAGUAUUUGUGCGAAGAUAUGUCACAAACAAAGUACAGGAACAAUCCAGCUUGUAGACUAGAGCCCCAUUAUGAUGCAAGUAAUUUUUUUACUGCCCAACAUGAAGACAGCAUAAAGAAAUGUUGAUUGUUACAAU
Long non-coding RNA from Helicoverpa armigera (cotton bollworm), 539 nucleotides. RefSeq lists it as uncharacterized. The transcript is spliced from 2 exons. The record is from RefSeq and is a predicted model, not a curated record. NCBI's taxonomy places the organism in Eukaryota, Metazoa, Arthropoda, Insecta, Lepidoptera, Noctuidae.